GUUUCUUUUACCCCUUCCCUCUGUCAUUCCCGAACCUCCCAUCCCCGGGCGCAAUAACGUAGUCGCACAGGCGCCGUCUAAGCGGUGCACCAUACGAACCCUGCAACAUCUGCAACUCCAUAUAGGCAUAGCAGAACUGCAAACGAGCACCCUUUAUCACCCACCCAUCACAUGAAAAUAUAUUCACACAAUUGCAGGGGACUAAACACCCCACAUAAAAGGCGCAUGAUGCU
Molecule: non-coding RNA, 233 nt
Organism: Pelobates cultripes (western spadefoot toad)
Lineage: Eukaryota; Metazoa; Chordata; Amphibia; Anura; Pelobatidae
Source: the annotation of a GenBank genome assembly